ACUUUAUGUCUGCAUACAAUGGCUUCCUAAAAAUUGAAGUCAAUUCCUUUUUUGCUCACAGUCUUGGGCAAUAAAGCUAAAUCAGAUUCUGAUAUGUUUCUAUACAAGCAAAACAAAAAAAAAAAAGCUUUCGCAUUGAUUUGAAAAACCGGUAAAACAGAAAUGUGGGUUUGUUUAAAUUUAAAGCCCAAUGAAGCCAGUAAAUAGCUAUAUGGAAUAAAAAGAGUUCUUAUAGAGGAAGGUUGAAGGUGGAUUCCAGAUUGAGGCUCUGAUUGUAACUUGAAAAAAACAUGUACGAUCCCAAAUCCCAAAGGUUGUUUUUUUUACUCAUGCUGCAUGUUUCCUGCUCUGCGGUGUCUCCUGGAGAGAUGUUUCUAAUCUCAAUGUGGCUUCCUGAUUAAAUAAAGAUUAAAUUUAACCUUUUUUUUACAGUUCCACAGUGACUCACUAAGGAGGAACUGGUCAAAGGCAAACUGAGGACAGAAGUAAUCAGAUCAAACCAUCACUAAUCAAGUCCAAACCAACAGCUGAAAAAGUUUUUUUUAAUUCUGGAAACAUUUUGUGCGUACUCACACAUCACUGAGAAUUGUUGUUUAGGUAUAAACCUGGAUGUUUCAGUGCUUCCUUCCAAUUUAACACAACAUUGUAAUAUCACAGUAAAUGGGAAUUUUAAACACCAGCUGCACAGUCAUUCACACACCGGAACGACUGUUUAAGGGAUGUGAUGACAUCUAUAUUAUCCGGGAACCACAUUUAAAUUUAUUGGACUGAUUUAAACAAGGAAACAAAGGCAGUCAAUUGCUCUUUUUCUUCACCGAGUAUUUUCAUUACAGUCACUCACUGCUGACAAAGCACUCAAACGCCUCUACGAGCCGAGAGUACAGGAAUCCACCUACACAGAUCAACAUCUUCAUUUAAUCCAAAAUAAGGCAGUGGUCUGCAGAGCUGUGCGAAAAUUAAAACAGGUUAAUCAACAUUUUGACCUUAAAUGUUGCCUGGAUCAAUGUACAUAGUCAUUUGGAUGAUCUUUAGUCAUGCAGGUCCUGUCACACCGUUACUUGUUUUACCAUGUAUUCAACCACACCCAGUAGGGGCCUACAAAACCUUGUUUUGGGAAAAGUUACUUGACGUCUUUGACACUAUGUUACCAUGAUGUGGAUCAAUUUGCAUAGUCUGUGUAUAUUGGAAUGAAGGAUAUACAAUUAAUAGUGCUCUAAGAAAAACACCCAGGACAGGCUGGAAUUCUGCAGUAAGAGACAUUGGACAAUGGAACCAAUCCAUCUUUAUUUACAGAGAUUGAUCAUGUCUAAUGAUCAGUGUCAGACAGAAAAACCCAACAAAAAACUAACAAAGACUAUAAUUUAAUUAUAUUAAGAUGAUAAAUAAUGAUGGAGAGCAUUAAAUUAAUCACCUAUGUGAAGAAGAAACACAUGUAGAAAGAUAUUUUCUUUUAUGAAUAAUCCUUCUCAUUGAUUGUGUGGCACCCAGAAAUAAAAAUGUGUCCGAUUUUAUGAGUUGUGUUCUGUCAUCAAUGACAAAACCCAAGUGUGGGGUUUCUUCCACCCAAUUCGGUCUAAAAAUACAGCCAAAAGUGAGAUCAGUGUCAGAGUAAUUUCCUCUAACAAUCGAGCAACAAUUUGAUGAUGAUCUGUGAAUUUUUCCGCCUGACAGUGCACAGUGACUAAAUGGCUAAGUGACUAAAUCAGAACACUAAAAGGAACAAAUGCUCAGUGAACCCUAUGGGUCUUAUCUCCUCAGAGACCCUGUGGUCAGUUCUUAAAUGACAGCAGACGUUUAAACAAACAGUUUACUUUCGGUGUUUACGUCAUGAAAGUAUUAGAGAAUUUUCAGGUAGAAAAUAAAAUGACUUAGUUUCCAAGCUUCUGCAGCAGAGUGUCAGCCUUUGGGGAUUUUCUGCCUCUAAAUGUGCGUUGCAUAUUUACAUGCCAGUGUUUGUUGUCUUUGGCAUGUGUAUCAGUGUAGAAAUGUUUGGGGUGACAUGACUCUGUCACUUCUGUCACUUGUGACAGACGUGUGCAGCAGCAAACAUACUUCUCACUCGGUGUUGUAAAUCCAUUCCUGCCGUCACACUGUGGGGGAACCGACUGUAUUUUAGGAAGAAAAAUGUUGAUUAUGUUGCAUACAUUAGGAUUUUCUUGUUAAGUGAGCAGUAGUCACAGUUAAGGCUGAUGUUGGUGAUGGAAAAAAAAUGGCUGUUAAGUCAGUGUAAAGUUCUUUAAAGUGAUGGAAAUUUAACUGAAUUUAUCUGGUCCUUGUGUGUUCGGAGACUCAGAGCAGCUCUUAGCUCAUUAAUGUAAACACUCUACUAAGCACAGGUUCUGCAGAGCUGCACCGCUGACUCCACCAAAUCCACCGGGACACCGACCGACAUCUCUGCCUUGUUACGCAGCUCUUUAUCCUCCUCUGUCUCUCCUCCUCUUCAUGUGUCCCCUCAGGCUUUGCCUCCCCUCAGGCUUCACCUCCUCCAUCAUCACUUUUGCCCCUUUUCCCCCCCUUCCUCAUCCUCCACCUCUCACCAUCUCCGUCAUCUUUUUUUUUUUUUUAAUUCUUCAACAUCUGCCAACACUUUCUCGGCUGCACACGAGUGAGCCCUCAGAAGUUUACACUGCGGCGCUAAAUAAUAACCACCAUAUGCCAUUUAGUCUUUACAACCAUCGAACUUUCAUCCAGAGUGAUUUAAAGCCAACAGGCCUGCUGUUGAGAGCAUUUCAUUGUGCCAUAUAGUUCAUGAGUUUAAUGAGCUGUAUUAGGAAUUGUCUGUCAGGAUUGAAUUCACAUGUUGGAGUUGUUAUGUUCAGAAAUGGAAAUAAGUCCAUUCAAUCCCCCUUUCUGAGGUCAAAGAAAAAUGGAUAAAAUAACUACAUAAACAAGGUUCAUUAAUGUAACCCCACACAUUCAAAGUUCAGUGCAGUUUCUUGGUAGAUUUGUGUUUUUUUGUUAAUAAGCUAAUGAUUUUACUUCAUCAGGAUUGGGUGACUCAGUGCUUUGAUUCUCUCUGAAGCCGUUAAGUAGCGUUUUUGCUUCAGGUCAACUUCUGUUUUUCUCCAAAAACCCAGUGUUGCUUUCAUGAGGUGUUUUAAAGUGUGUUAUCAAAUUUCUUAGUAUAAUGCUUUCAAAAGACAGGUUACUUUUUUAGUUUAUCAUUUUUUGCGGCAAGGUGUUAAUCCUAAUCUUUCUACUCUCUUUUAGCCUUUUUUUGUCCUCGACUCUCAAUGGAUUCCCAUUAAAAGUAGCAAUGUACUAUCAUUAGUCUAACAGGUCCUGUACCUCAUUUAACGGCACUAAAUCCAACUAACUACUGCAUUUUUGACAUUUUGAGCACAUGACUCACAGAUUUCAUAGUACAUGUUAGUAUAUAGUAUGAAGUGCUGCUAAUUGUGACUAAUCCACUCAAAGUAUGGUGUUUUAUCAAGUCAAGAGCACACCAUAGCACUUCACACUACAUUCAGUUACUCACCCCCGCCCCCGCACGCUUUCACACACUGAUGGUGGUAAGCUACUACAUUGUAGCCACAGCUACCCUGAGGCAGCCAUCCACCGGGUCUUCUGGGGCCUCAUGCAUAAAAGAAUGCGCAGUUUUCACGCCAAAUCACACCGAAUCUGAUGUAGUCCGUGACUGCAUCACGGACUACAUCAGAUUCUGUGAGGACACUGUCAUGCCAGCCCGGACCGUGCGCUGCUUCUCCAACAACAAACCCUGGAUUACCAGUGACCUGAAGGCACUUCUAAACAAAAAGAAGAUGGCUUUCAGGUCUGGAGAUAAGGAGGAGCAGAGGAGAGUCCAGUGUGAACUCAGAGAGUCACUGAGGACAUGCAAGGACAACUACAGGAGGAAGCUUGAGUCCAAACUCGAGCAGAACAGUGUGAAAGAUGUGUGGAAAGGAUUGAAGCAAAUCGCUGGGUUGAAGGGGAAGGACACACAGACAUCUGGGAGCCUGGAUAGAGCAAACCAGUUUAACCAGUUUUUCAACAGGUUUAGCUCACCUACUGCUACUCCCCUACCACCAUCAUCCCCCCACACAUCCACACUGCCCCAAGUUGUUCAAACCACCUACCGACAUUCUCCUGCACACCACCUCUCCUUCCUCCUCUCCUAUUUAGGUGAGUUUUGGCGCUUUGUAGUUUGAUAUUGUCCACAGAAAAAGUUUGCGUGGCUGCCACACAUUUUCACGCCAGCGAAAAAGUGUGCGUAUAUUUACUCAAACUUUGACGCAAAGUUAAUUUUUAUACAUGCCGACUUGUGCAUAAAAUAUGGCGCCGCACAUUUUUUGUGCGCACGCUUUAUGCAUGAGACCCCUGAUCACCACAAGCAGAACAGGCAGAGGAUAUACAGUAUCUUAUCCAAGGACACAAUGAUAGGGAAGGAUGAAGAUAGGGCUCAAAUCGACAACCUACUGGUCACGGAACCAGUAGGUUGUGGUAGCAUCAACUAUCUUUGGUGAUACCAUUAAAAAUUCAUAUGUGGCCCUCAGAGUGAAACUUUACUUGCAUUUUGUAUGGCUAUACAAAAAACAAAAAAGUGAACUGUUUGAAGUUAUGCAGUUACAAAAAUAUUUUUUAUGCAGCUAAUAUAAAGUCACAACGCCAUUAAAAUAAAAUGACUAAAUUAUCUUAAGUGUGAGUUCAAUGUUUAUCUGAAGCUUUGUAGCAGCACUGGUCUUAAAUAACUGAGGAACACAUUUCCAAGAGCCAAACUGAAAUAGGAAUCAUUGAAAUGUAUCUCGAUGUGGCAGAAAUCUUUUUAGAAACGAUGACAAAGUAAACAAAAAUUAUUUCCAUUUUAUAAGUGGAGUGUCGCAUGUCAAAUUGUUUUUCAUCAAUGAAAGAUAGACAUUUUUAGGUUUGAAAUUGUCCUAUUCAUUCAUGGAAUACCAGUAAAAACAAGACCCAUAGGAGAGUCCAGAGAGUUUCUAAGUUUCUGGUCUUCUGUUUGUUUGUUGUGGAGGACUAUAAGCCGAUCAAAGGAAGGUGGGUGUAGGCUGUAGUCGCUGGUUCUUGACAGCAAGUGAUCGUCUCAGCUUUGCUCUAAAGAAAGCAAGGGCUUUAAUUUAUUCCCUCUCAACUCACGCUCUCUGUGUCGGCCUGAGUGUUGUGGAAAGUGCUCAGAUCAUAUGUAAAGCUGUUUUAUGCUAAUGUGUGUCUGUGAGUGUGUACGCACGUUGUUAUAGACUUGUCACACCAGCGUACACAAACUGCAUCAGAGCCUCUCCACCUGGCUGACACCUUGUGUUGCUGCUGCUUCUUUUCCUUCCACCGAUCCAGACAAGGUUUAGGACAAAUGGAAGACCUCUUCAUAGCACUCUGAAUAUCAUGACCCAAAAAUGCCAACCAGAGUACAUCAUCACCAUGAGCAAAGACAAGACCCCAAGGUUUCCAGACCAGACAUCAGUGUCCACCAUAAACAGUGUCCAAGACAAGAUGCAACUCUGGUAUACACAAUGGUUUCAACCAUGUUCCAUUAAAGAUAAGAUUUUUCAGAAACACUCAUAUAAGAGCCUGUGAUACUUUUUACAGAGUGACAAAUUAAUCAUCUCUAUACAUUUUAUGAAAGGAAACUAUAGAGUUUUUGCUUUAAGUGUGUCAACUGCUAGUUAUGUGCUUCAACACUAAGUAUGGCAAAGUUUGGACCUAUUACCAUAGGAAACUCAACAGCUUCCUGAAUCCUAACCCAGUUAAGCUAAAUAAAAAAAAAUGCCACAGAGAGCAUUUUCUGAAAGUGCCAGCUUUCUUCACAAGCCAAAUCACAAAUGUGUGUUUUGAUUCACUUGGAGAUGGCUGAAGUGACCAGGCGUCUGGCGGCUGUGAGGUAGUGUUAAACACCAUGUGAGGGAAACAUCAAGGCCUUUAGCACUCCGUCUGUUGACCACUUGGCCAAAAAAAUGCAUCUUUUUGCACUCUGUCUUUCUCACACCUCUCGGCAAUGUGAUACAAUCGUUUUAUUUAUUUUUUUUUUUUUGGAACUGAUCCUUUUAUUAAACUACAUAGAGGAUUUGGAAUAUUGCAAAAUACACCAUUAAAAAAUUAUUCAUAUAGGACUAAGUAUCUCCAGAGCUCUCUUAAGCAAAGUAUACAGAGCCUGAGAAGUUUUCCCAAGCUCAUUUUCACAGUUUGCCAAAUCAACAAAAGUGGUUGGAAGGAGAAUUCCUGAUUUGCAGCAUUUAUUUGAAGAAGCUUUGUGAAUGGUGGGCAGAUGGAGAACUCGCCGCGAUUGCCAUUACAAAACAUUUAGAGGCCAGCUCGCCAAGUUAGCGCCUGGUCUCAGACAUUUGUUUACUGAGGAAUGGUCCGAUGUAACUGUACUUUUUCCUCAAUGCAUCUUGGCACCACUUUGCUUUGGAAAAUCCUGAUUUACACUCAACACACUGGUCCUUUUGUGCCCUGGUUUUUACACUUUUUUGUCCAAUCCAAGGGCUUUUCACAGGAAUGCUGAGCUGUUUUACUUUAGUUGUCUCUUAUCUUUCCCUUUGAAUUUAAUUUCCAGUUUAAGGAGGUUAAGGCAUAGAAUAUUUUACAACAAACGAUAAAAUCAGGGUCUGCCAAUUGUUCUGAGAGACAUGCAACUCAUUCCUAAUGAUCACUGAGUAAUUUUUCUUGCUCUUUCUGACCUCCCACUAAUCAGACAAUUUAUUUUGACUGAAUUUGAGCUUAUUUUGAUUCACCAGCGCUAAAAUAUUUUACGAAAUAUGUAGAAUAAAAUAUAUUCUAUAAUUGGUUGGAUUUAAUUUUAAAGAGAAAAUCUUAAUGAUGACUCUUGCACUGCUUUUCAAAUAUGUUAUGAUCCAGUCAUAUCCAGUCAUAUUUUGGUUAAGUAAAUCAUGGUGAGUGUGGCAGGUUUUUCACUCCCUCUAAAAUGGAAGUGAGAAAUGUGGGUAUAAUGCAAAACAUAAAGUGUUGGCAUCAUAAAGAUGUCUGUUGAUGUCUAACUUUUAAAAAAAAUAAAAGUUCUAAUUCAUCCAUUGUGCCUACCAAACCUGAUUCUUUGUUAGGUUAGUUUAAGUUUGGAUGGGAAAUGUAAUCUAAAUUGUCAAUUUAAAUUGUAAACUUGGAUUCCUACUUGCAUUCAGUAGGAAGAAUAUAUUUCAGUGUUGAAAUCCAGGUUCCAACUUUUCAUCCGCAAAGAAUUAUUGGCUCUUUAAUUUACACAACUUUCAGUGCAUCUUUUGAAAAGGCAAUUGAACCUCAAAUUAUCUACAAAGACCUGCAAAAUAGGAGAAAAAAAAAUCUAAAAAACGUUAUCAGGUAACCGUUUUCAAUAUCUAGGAACAUUAUAAGAGUUAUUUUCAUACCAACUUAAAAGAAACUCAUAGGAAAUAAUGCCUUAAUCAUAUCAGUAAUGUUUUAGAGAAAAUAUCUGUCUUUCAUUUUCAAUUUAAAUUUGGUGAUUGUGUGCAGUCCAUCUUUCAUGUUUUUUCUGAACCAGGAAUCCUGACCAGACUCCAGCUCCCCAGUACUGGAACUGGAUGAUGUGCCAAUUAUGCCUGAGGUGUGUGCAGGGUUUUGGUCUCAGAGGUCCAUGCACCACAUCCUGCCGGGCUUCAUGCAUCAUUGUGAGAGGUUGGCCAUCGGGUGAUGAAGCAUCCAUUCAGCCCUUCCUGGGGCCUUCCUUUGGCCCCUCCCUUCUUCCUAGUGACAUGCUCACACAGUUGGACAUGAGAGAUUGUCGCAGAAGCUGCAGGGUGCUGGAGAAACACUCCACUUUAAUGCAUUUGUGAAAUACACAAACACUCUGAGAACAAGUCAAAGCAAAGCAUAAAAGGUCUUUGUGUCUAUCCUGCUUACUUUGUCUGUCUUUUUAGGUCACUCACCCAACAAAAAUCGGUAUUCGGGGCUUGCAUGCUUUCUUAUUCUAUCUGAUGUUAAAUGUGAUAAAACAAAACAAGAAUUUUACUAAUAGAGGAAGAAAAUGCUUAAUGACAUACAUCUUUUUGGAGUCUAUGACACCUCCAUCUUUCUGUCCUACAUCCUAGGCUCCACCUCCACAGCAUCCUCAAAUGAUGGUCAGGAGGGGUGGGGUGAGGGUGGCUGACAUUUUGUCAUCUGCUGAAUGCUGAGGUCCCAUUGGGGGGCUAAUGAGUGCCAUCAUUUUUUAGUAAUCAAUAAAUCAUGCCUUAUUGAUUUCUUCUUCCUCUCUCUCCCUCUCUGAGCCAGCUUCUGUUCUCUGAAUGCCAGAGAACAGGAAGGGGAGAGGGGUGGAGCAGUGGAGGGGCAAACAGGUGGGAAUAAGGGAUGGAGCUGAGAAGAGGGGGGGAUUAGUUGGAUGAAAGAGAUGGAUGGAGAGAUUAAUAGAGACAGGAUAAGGGACACAAGGUUGGAAAAGAAAGUACACAGUGGUAGUUACAUUGCCGUUGACCUAUAAUGAUUGAUUUUUGCCCUUUGAUUUAAAGAACCAUAAUAAAAAAUUAGCUGCACAUAGGACCCAUUGGUUGACUAUAAGAUCUGUUUCCCUACAUAAUAGCUUAUUUCUCAAAUUGUCCUGGAUAUUACUUUAUCCAACCAGAACAUUGGAUUAGUUUGACUAAAGUUUUCACUAAAACUCAAAUUAGGGCUCACAGACGUUAACAGAUCAUUGUCCCACACACUUUAUGCUGCUGUCACACAAUUUGUAGAUUUUUGCAUGCUCUCAGUGACACACAAAACCUUUGGCACUGUGAUUGGACUGUGUCUAGAAGCAGUUGAUAGCACUAGAGCAUACCCAUGCAUGCCAAACAUUUUAUAUUUUAUUCGUAAAAUUGUUAAAAUAGUGUAUAACUUCCCUUCACUUUCACCAUUGUGACGGCCCUGCUGUGCGGUCCUGUGUGUGUGCUAUGUGGCCGGUAGAUUGUUUGUCAAUUAAGGUCCUCAAUUGUGGGAGGUGCUUCUGAUUACGUGGCCACCUGGGUUACAUAUAAGGAGCGCCGUUCCACUCAUGUCAGGCUGGCCGACGCAAGAAUCAGGCGCAGACGACCCGGAGAUCCAGGCCCAGCCGAGAUCCGGAUUCGGAGGCGGCGCCGGCAGAUUGCUUGAUACCUUGUGGGAGCUGAGACCUGUGGGGGCCAACCGGGUCCAUGACUGGUAAAGGACCAGGCUGAGGGAACGCUGGAUUAUCACGUCUUGGGCUGGCGCCCAUUGCACCCCUAGACAAUCGGUUGUUUUUAAUAAAUGCCUCUGAAGGGCUAAAAAUGUU
Molecule: long non-coding RNA, 9184 nt
Organism: Xiphophorus hellerii (green swordtail)
Lineage: Eukaryota; Metazoa; Chordata; Actinopteri; Cyprinodontiformes; Poeciliidae
Exons: 2
Source: RefSeq, a predicted model, not a curated record